RNAcentral lists this ribosomal RNA (1008 nucleotides) under Metarhizium sp. 1 DT-2012. RNAcentral describes it as "SSU rRNA". It matches the Rfam family "Eukaryotic small subunit ribosomal RNA", at positions 87 to 1106 of the family's 1831-position model. RNAcentral also lists the same sequence under 1 other name. The record is from RNAcentral. Lineage: Eukaryota; Fungi; Ascomycota; Sordariomycetes; Hypocreales; Clavicipitaceae.
CUGCGAAUGGCUCAUUAUAUAAGUUAUCGUUUAUUUGAUAGUACCUUACUACUUGGAUAACCGUGGUAAUUCUAGAGCUAAUACAUGCUAAAAAUCCCGACUUCGGAAGGGAUGUAUUUAUUAGAUUAAAAACCAAUGCCCUCUGGGCUCUCUGGUGAUUCAUGAUAACUUCUCGAAUCGCAUGGCCUUGCGCCGGCGAUGGUUCAUUCAAAUUUCUUCCCUAUCAACUUUCGAUGUUUGGGUAGUGGCCAAACAUGGUUGCAACGGGUAACGGAGGGUUAGGGCUCGACCCCGGAGAAGGAGCCUGAGAAACGGCUACUACAUCCAAGGAAGGCAGCAGGCGCGCAAAUUACCCAAUCCCGAUUCGGGGAGGUAGUGACAAUAAAUACUGAUACAGGGCUCUUUUGGGUCUUGUAAUUGGAAUGAGUACAAUUUAAAUCCCUUAACGAGGAACAAUUGGAGGGCAAGUCUGGUGCCAGCAGCCGCGGUAAUUCCAGCUCCAAUAGCGUAUAUUAAAGUUGUUGUGGUUAAAAAGCUCGUAGUUGAACCUUGGGCCUGGCUGGCCGGUCCGCCUCACCGCGUGUACUGGUCCGGCCGGGCCUUUCCCUCUGUGGAACCCCAUGCCCUUCACUGGGUGUGGCGGGGAAACAGGACUUUUACUUUGAAAAAAUUAGAGUGCUCCAGGCAGGCCUAUGCUCGAAUACAUUAGCAUGGAAUAAUGAAAUAGGACGUGCGGUUCUAUUUUGUUGGUUUCUAGGACCGCCGUAAUGAUUAAUAGGGACAGUCGGGGGCAUCAGUAUUCAAUUGUCAGAGGUGAAAUUCUUGGAUUUAUUGAAGACUAACUACUGCGAAAGCAUUUGCCAAGGAUGUUUUCAUUAAUCAGGAACGAAAGUUAGGGGAUCGAAGACGAUCAGAUACCGUCGUAGUCUUAACCAUAAACUAUGCCGACUAGGGAUCGGACGAUGUUAUUUUUUGACUCGUUCGGCACCUUACGAGAAAUCAAAGUGC